UAGUGGCGAACGGGUGAGUAACACGUGGGCAAUCUGCCCUGCACUCUGGGACAAGCCCUGGAAACGGGGUCUAAUACCGGAUAACACUGUCCCCCUCCUGGGGGACGGUUGAAAGCUCCGGCGGUGCAGGAUGAGCCCGCGGCCUAUCAGCUUGUUGGUGGGGUAAUGGCCUACCAAGGCGACGACGGGUAGCCGGCCUGAGAGGGCGACCGGCCACACUGGGACUGAGACACGGCCCAGACUCCUACGGGAGGCAGCAGUGGGGAAUAUUGCACAAUGGGCGAAAGCCUGAUGCAGCGACGCCGCGUGAGGGAUGACGGCCUUCGGGUUGUAAACCUCUUUCAGCAGGGAAGAAGCGAAAGUGACGGUACCUGCAGAAGAAGCGCCGGCUAACUACGUGCCAGCAGCCGCGGUAAUACGUAGGGCCGCAAGCGUUGUCCGGNAUUUAUUUGGGCGUAAAGAGCUCGUAGGCGGNCCUGUCACGUCGGGGNGUGAA
This 496-nucleotide ribosomal RNA is filed under the name Streptomyces sp. 313E11. Its description in RNAcentral is "bacterial SSU rRNA". It matches the Rfam family "Bacterial small subunit ribosomal RNA", at positions 93 to 599 of the family's 1533-position model. Lineage: Bacteria; Bacillati; Actinomycetota; Actinomycetes; Kitasatosporales; Streptomycetaceae. The record is from RNAcentral.